UACGGAGGGGGCUAGCGUUGUUCGGAAUUACUGGGCGUAAAGCGCACGUAGGCGGCUUUUGUAAGUUAGAGGUGAAAGUCCAGGGGCUUAACCCUGGAAUUGCCUUUAAGACUGCAUCGCUAGAAUCGUGGAGAGGUGAGUGGAAUUCCGAGUGUAGAGGUGAAAUUCGUAGAUAUUCGGAAGAACACCAGUGGCGAAGGCGACUCACUGGACACGUAUUGACGCUGAGGUGCGAAAGCGUGGGGAGCAAACAGG
Molecule: ribosomal RNA, 255 nt
Filed under: uncultured bacterium
Lineage: Bacteria
Description: partial 16S ribosomal RNA
Rfam family: Bacterial small subunit ribosomal RNA
Source: RNAcentral